Asparagus officinalis (garden asparagus) is the source of this 1982-nucleotide long non-coding RNA. RefSeq lists it as uncharacterized. The transcript is spliced from 2 exons. Lineage: Eukaryota; Viridiplantae; Streptophyta; Magnoliopsida; Asparagales; Asparagaceae. The record is from RefSeq and is a predicted model, not a curated record.
CCGCCGCAACAUACCACCGCCAUCUCUUCACCCCCCAUCCCUCACCAUUAACAGCCGACCACCCCCCUCAACUAAUUCAACCCAGCAACGACGAACACCACCAUCUCGCGCCGCACAACGACCAGUCGCCGCCAUCAAUUGCCGUUCGACCUGCUAUCAACUCCCGUUCGGUAGACUAUAUGAGACCUAAAUGCGGACGGACUAGCCAGAGAGCCUCAACUUCUAAAUCGCGAUGACAAAGAGGUAACCCUUCCCCUCCCCAAAAUCCUCAUGGUAUAGAAUUUGUCGAUGCACAACAAUAAUCUAGGUAUAAUGCACUGGUUAAGCGGGGAAUUCUGAGUACCCGCUAUUUGGAUGAGAUAUGUUUGCGUGAGUUAGGACUGUGGGAAGAUGUUUCAUAUCUCCUAAAACAGGUUGGUUGGAUAAAUUUUGUAGAAGCUAAACAUCCCACGUACGAACAUAUUACUCUCGAGUUUUUGAGUUCUCUUGAUGCUGUUUUGUUUAAUGGUGAGGGAGUAAAAGAAGGGAAAAUCACUUUCCGGCUAUUUAACCAGUCCCACACACUUACAUUAGGACAAUUAAAUGAGAUAUUUGGUUAUCCGGAUGGUGGGGCUAGAAUUGUCCCUAAACAUUUUAACUUGACCCCCUUUUGGACUUCCAUCGCACGCUCUACCACUCAAAGAACUUAUGAUCCCUUAAUGUCAAGGGCCUUUGUUGUUUAUAACCCAUGCUUUAGAUAUUUACAGUGGUUCAUGGCUUUCAUAAUUUUUGGUCGAGGCGAGAGUGAUGGAUCAUGUGUUAGAGAGAACUCUACCUCUUAUGUGCCAUGAUCGAGGGACACAAGGUUGACACAGGAGCUUUUAUGAUUCAUCAUAUGUGUCGUGCAGCGAGAGCAACGAGCGGAAAAAUUAUGUUUGGUGGUUUGAUUACCACCUUAGCUUACGAGAUAGGUUUAGGGGAGCUCGUAGAGGGACUUUAUCCUUUAAGCCCUAGUGCGUCUAUUAACCUAGAUGUUUGUCUUCAUAUGAAAUUGAUUAGCUAUAAGGGCAAUAGGUUAUUGUUAUGUUUUCAGGACAAUUAUCUUUUUCCACUCUGAUCCUGAUCGCAUGACCAUCCAUGUUCACGCAAAUUGGUGCUACUUCACAUCUGAUUUUAUGAAUUGUGAUGGUCACGAGGUUAUGCCAGCUGAGGAUGCUGACACAGUACCCUGAUCCCUAUCCAAUGUUAACCUGAUAGGGGAGUUAGCUCUUUCCACCACUCUGAUUGGUCAACGAAGUUAUCAGCUAUCAAUAUUUCUCUUGUCUCCCUUACUAACCGUGUAGGUGCCAUCGAGCAAGAGCAACAACGUCAAGGACAACUCUUGGACUCUAUGCACCGCAUGAUGCAGUCUAUUCAUGAGUGGCAACUCCGUCAGGAUGUCUCCGCUCCACCUCCUUCUGACCAGUGACUUGGUAUUGGCUCAAGAUUGAAAGAUUCGAUGAUCGUUGGAAGUUGAACAAGAGUUUGAAGCAACAACGAGAUUUGGAAUGCAUGGCUUGAGAAGGAAAUGGAUACACGAGUAUGAAGAACUGGAAUUUCGACCAUGAUGCAGUUCGAAUCCGAAAAAGCUCAAAAGAUAAAAGUUGUAGAUCUCUUCAACAACUUUUCAACGCAACUUGAAUCACUCCAUUCCGAGUCGGACGAAAAAGUUACAGCUAAAAUAUCAAAGACUGUACGAACAAGCAUGAAAUGUGCGAGACAGAUUCCACCACACCCGUGGUUUGGGUCUUAUCUUUUUCCAGAUUUUUUGCGACCUAUAAAUAUGUAUUUUAGCUUAGGGUUUAGGAUCUUUUGUUCUUGUUCUCUUAGCCGUCAAUUAGCAUCUAUUUUAGAGUUCAAGUAUUAAAGGAAGACACAAAUUUCUUGUACAAGAUUGGAUUGCAAAGCUAUAUUUUGAAGAUUUCAAUUGAAAGACGGGUUAUUUCUUUCCUCGCUUUAAUUAA